GAUGAAGAACGUAGCGAAAUGCGAUAAGUAAUGUGAAUUGCAGAAUUCAGUGAAUCAUCGAAUCUUUGAACGCACAUUGCGCCCGCCAGUAUUCUGGCGGGCAUGCCUGUCUGAGCGUGAUUUCAACCCUCAUGCCCCUAGGGCGUGGUGUUGGGGAUCGGCCAAAGCCCGCGAGGGACGGCCGGCCCCUAAAUCUAGUGGCGGACCCGUCGUGGCCUCCUCUGCGAAGUAGUGAUAUUCCGCAUCGGAGAGCGAUGAGCCCCUGCCGUUAAACCCCCAACUUUCCAAGGUUGACCUCAGAUCAGGUAGGAAUACCCGCUGAACUUAAGCAUAUCAAUAAGCGGAGGA
RNAcentral lists this unclassified non-coding RNA (348 nucleotides) under soil metagenome. RNAcentral describes it as "partial contains 5.8S ribosomal RNA, internal transcribed spacer 2, and large subunit ribosomal RNA". The stretch from base 1 to 120 matches the Rfam family "5.8S ribosomal RNA", at positions 35 to 154 of the family's 154-position model. The record is from RNAcentral.